CAUAGCGACUAUCGUGGCAUAUCAAUAAGCGGAGGAAAAGAAACUAACAAGGAUUCCCCUAGUAACGGCGAGUGAAGCGGGAAGAGCUCAAAUUUGAAAUCUUCAAGGUUUGACCUUGACGAAUUGUAGUUUAAAGAAGUGUUUUCGGUUAGAGGAGUAGUAAAAGUUCUUUGGAAUAGGACAUCAUAGAGGGUGAGAAUCCCGUAUUUGACUAUUCUUUCUAGCUUUGUGAUACACUUUCAAAGAGUCGGAUUGUUUGGGAAUGCAGUCCAAAAUGGGUGGUAAAUUUCAUCUAAAGCUAAAUAUUGGCGAGAGACCGAUAGCGAACAAGUACCGUGAGGGAAAGAUGAAAAGAACUUUGAAAAGAGAGUUAAACAGUACGUGAGAUUGUCAAAAGGGAAGCGUUUGACACCAGUGUUGUUUUCUCGAAAAUCAAUUAAAAAUGGCCGGAUUUUGUGUUGUAUUGACCUUAUAAGCUUUCUUCACUCUUUUCUUGUCUUUUUUAAUGCACUUUUCGUUUAACAAGUCAACAUCAGUUUCUUUUGUUGUAAAAGGGUCAUUGGAAGGUGGCUUUCUUUUCGGAGAAAGUGUUUAUAGCCUUGUACCUCUGCAAUCGGAGAGAUUGAGGUCUGCAGCGUAGAUCCUUCGGGGUUAGAUACAUUUGUGCUAAGUUAUAGCUUUUCAUGGACAACUUGUUGACUAUGUUUAGUCUUGUAGCUUACUCGCUUAUGCUAUUUUACCUACGCUUAGGAUGUUGAUAGUCACAGCGUGUAC
RNAcentral lists this ribosomal RNA (774 nucleotides) under uncultured Neocallimastigales. Its description in RNAcentral is "partial large subunit ribosomal RNA". It matches the Rfam family "Eukaryotic large subunit ribosomal RNA", at positions 22 to 629 of the family's 3401-position model. Lineage: Eukaryota; Fungi; Neocallimastigomycota; Neocallimastigomycetes; Neocallimastigales. The record is from RNAcentral.